GAUUCCAGCUCUCGCGCCCGACGAGGUGGAUUUGGCUGUCCACCGAGCUCCGGCGCCUGUCGUUCUAAUUGGGUUUGGAUUUGCACCGUUAAGGAGGGGGGAAGAGAAAGAAGAGGAGGGCGAGGAAGGCGAGUCCAGCUAGCGGCUGUUGCGGGGACCGUAGCCCCAGCUGCAGCUCCGAAGAAUCCCCCGCCACGGUUUCGGUGGAGCGUCUGGGCACGGGAUGGAGUGAAAGAGCGAGUGCCUCUCCAAGGGGGGGUGGGAGGGGGUCAGGCGGUGCAGAGGAGAGAGAGAGCGAGAAGAAGCCGCGGCUGGCGACUGCGAAUUUGGGAUUCGAUUGGGAGGGACCACUCACUCGGGGGAAAUGGAUUCUGUACCACGGCUGACCAGCGUUUUGACUUUGCUGUUCUCCGGCUUGUGGCAUUUAGGAUUAACAGCGACAAACUUGAGGCCCUUAAUAGAAUGGAAAGAAGAACAGGAAGUAAGAAAGCCUGAAAGACUCAAACACUGUAUAAUUUUUCUCUGAAUAAGCUAAU
This 536-nucleotide small RNA is filed under the name Pongo abelii (Sumatran orangutan). RNAcentral's name for it is "processed transcript". Lineage: Eukaryota; Metazoa; Chordata; Mammalia; Primates; Hominidae. The record is from RNAcentral.